RNAcentral lists this ribosomal RNA (349 nucleotides) under Tetradium glabrifolium. RNAcentral's name for it is "eukaryotic LSU rRNA". The stretch from base 1 to 87 matches the Rfam family "5.8S ribosomal RNA", at positions 70 to 154 of the family's 154-position model. The record is from RNAcentral. Lineage: Eukaryota; Viridiplantae; Streptophyta; Magnoliopsida; Sapindales; Rutaceae.
AAUUGCAGAAUCCCGUGAACCAUCGAGUCUUUGAACGCAAGUUGCGCCCCAAGCCUUUAGGCCGAGGGCACGUCUGCCUGGGUGUCACGCAUCGUUGCCCCACCCCCACCCCCACCCCGGGGGCCUGGCGGUGCGGGCGGAUAAUGGCCUCCCGUGCGCUCCCCGCUCGCGGUUGGCCCAAAUUCGAGUCCUCGGCGACCGGAGCCGCGACAAUCGGUGGUGAAAACAAGCCUCUCGAGCUCAAGUCGCGGGCCCGCGUCUCCGUUUCGGGACUCAGGGACCCUGGCGCUCCGCGCAAGCGGCGCUCGCAUCGCGACCCCAGGUCAGGCGGGAUUACCCGCUGAGUUUA